AAGAAAUUAAAUAAGAGCAUUUGGUGGAUGCCUUGGUGUUGGUAGGCGAUGAAAGACGUAAUAAACUGCGAUAAGCUUUGGGGAGCUGUUAAUAAGCUUUGAUCCGAAGAUGUCUGAAUGGGGAAACCCACCCGCAAGGGUAUCUAUAAUUGAAUACAUAUGUUAUAGAGGCGAACCUGGAGAACUGAAAUAUCUAAGUAACCAGAGGAAAGGAAAUCAACCGAGACUCCCUUAGUAGUGACGAGCGAAGAGGGACCAGGCCAAUGUUGCUUGCAUAAUAAUUAGAACAGAUUGGAAAAUUUGACCAUAGAGGGUGACAGUCCCGUAUAAGUAAAAAGUGCGAGCAAAUACGAGUAGGGCGAGGCACGUGAAACCUUGUCUGAAUAUGGGGGGACCAUCCUCCAAGCCUAAGUACUCACCAACAACCGAUAGUGAACUAGUACUGUGAAGGAAAGGUUAAAAGAACCCCGAUAAGGGGAGUGAAAUAGAACCUGAAACCGAAUGCUUACAAACAGUCAGAGCAGACAAAUUUAUUUGUUCUGUGAUGGCGUACCUUUUGCAUAAUGGGUCAGCGAGUUAAUGUAUAAAGCAAGCUUAAGCCGAUAGGUGGAGGCGAAGGGAAACCGAGUCUGAAUAGGGCGAAUUAGUUUUAUGCAUUAGACCCGAAACUAGAUGAUCUAAUCAUGGUCAGGUUGAAAGUGUAGUAACAUACGCUGGAGGACCGAACUUGUUAAUGUUUCAAUAUUAUAAGAUGAACUGUGACUAGGGGUGAAAGGCUAAUCAAAUCUAGAUA
Molecule: ribosomal RNA, 793 nt
Filed under: Rickettsiales bacterium
Lineage: Bacteria; Pseudomonadati; Pseudomonadota; Alphaproteobacteria; Rickettsiales
Description: partial 23S ribosomal RNA
Rfam family: Bacterial large subunit ribosomal RNA
Source: RNAcentral